GAUGAACGCUAGCGGGAGGCCUAACACAUGCAAGCCGAGCGGGAUUUGUUGGUUAGCUUGCUAACUAACAAUGGGAGCGGCGUACGGGUGCGUAGCACGUGUGCAACCUGCCUUUAUCUGGGGGAUAGCCUUUCGAAAGGAAGAUUAAUACCCCAUAACAUAUUGAUUGGCAUCAGUUAAUAUUGAAAGCUCCGGCGGAUAGAGAUGGGCACGCGUAAGAUUAGCUAGUUGGUGAGGUAACGGCUCACCAAGGCUGCGAUCUUUAGGGGGCCUGAGAGGGUGAUCCCCCACACUGGUACUGAGGCACGGACCAGACUCCUACGGGAGGCAGCAGUGAGGAAUAUUGGACAAUGGGUGAGAGCCUGAUCCAGCCAUCCCGCGUGAAGGACUAAGGACCUAUGGUUUGUAAACUUCUUUUAUACAGGGAUAAACCUACUCUCGUGAGGGUAGCUGAAGGUACUGGAUGAAUAAGCACCGGCUAACUCCGUG
Molecule: ribosomal RNA, 489 nt
Filed under: uncultured bacterium
Lineage: Bacteria
Description: partial 16S ribosomal RNA
Rfam family: Bacterial small subunit ribosomal RNA
Source: RNAcentral